Molecule: long non-coding RNA, 606 nt
Organism: Erigeron canadensis
Lineage: Eukaryota; Viridiplantae; Streptophyta; Magnoliopsida; Asterales; Asteraceae
Exons: 2
Source: RefSeq, a predicted model, not a curated record
UCGCCGUCAUUCCUUUAAUGGAUCUAGAUUAGAUUCCACUUCAUCCCGUAAAAUCCUAACACCGGAAGGAAAAUACAUAUUUUUAUGUUGAUUUUCGAGAUAUGGUGGUUUAUGGCACAAAAGUGGGUUGAUGAAGAAGUGGUUUCUUACUAUGUUUUAUUCUUUCCUUGUUUUUAACAAUAUAUUAUUAGUAUAAGUUUUGUGGGGAUUAAUUUAGAUAUGCUAAAAUCAGAAAUUUUUGCCCUUUAAUUCCCAUCCCACGAAUAAUUAUUGGUUUCAAAGGAAUAAGACGGUAAUGUAAUCCCCGGGCAGCACCAAUGCAUAUCUGGGUAUGCUGUGCUCAUUUGAGACGGAUGCAUUCAAAAAACAGAGUUGCAUCCGUGUCACAUAAGCUCAGCCUUUCAAGAUGUGCAUUUGGGCUGCCCUAGGAUUAUACUACUUUCUUAAUCCUUCGUUAGAUGGGAAUUAUGAAGCCAAGAUUUUUGGUUUUGGCCUUUCUACAAUAAGCCCUGCAGUGACUGGUUUUGUAUUUUCAGAUUGUAAUCUUCUAUUGCUUGAAUGCUUUGAACAUGUGUAUGGUAUGUGGUUUGCAAAUGUUGUUCUCAA